CCAGAUUCUCGCAGUGCUCUGUGGUGGUGCAUGUAAUAUCCUGGACAUAAUCUGUCUUUUAAUUUUCUUUGGAUUGUAGUGAUAUUACAGAUACAUGUGUUCAGUUAUAGAUCUUUAUUUAAUAAGAAGAAUGCUUUAGCUGAAGAUUUGUACUAUGUCAGAAGUGGGCAACUCACAAUAAUGUUACUGGAGGUUUAGCCCAGGAAUUCUUUUGGGAUGAUGAGAGGGGCUCAUCCAAAAUGUUACAAGCAUGCCUGGACACUGAUUCAGACCUUUUGAAGAUUUCAGAAGAAAAUGACAUGUGUCCUCAAUAGAAACUUCACUGAGAUUUGCACAUGGUGUUCACCAUGGGCCACACUCUGCAUCAGCAGAAACUCCCACAUUGCAGAUGGUGGAAGCUGGACAAAUUAGAGGGC
RNAcentral lists this long non-coding RNA (416 nucleotides) under Coturnix japonica (Japanese quail). RNAcentral's name for it is "lncRNA (ENSCJPG00005006802.1)". Lineage: Eukaryota; Metazoa; Chordata; Aves; Galliformes; Phasianidae. The record is from RNAcentral.